Molecule: unclassified non-coding RNA, 1676 nt
Filed under: Leishmania donovani
Lineage: Eukaryota; Euglenozoa; Kinetoplastea; Trypanosomatida; Trypanosomatidae
Description: gene:LdHU3.23.1670(CDS-product:5-formyltetrahydro folate_cyclo-ligase_family_putative)
Source: RNAcentral
GCGGAGAGAACGGUGCGCCGUCCUGUUCGCUGGUCAACGAGGGGAGGGUGGUGGUGGUGGUGAUAAGAGCGCUCUCACGGGCGCUUCUUCACACGCCUCCUUUUUAUACCGUCUUCCCUUCGCUUCUUCGUUUAGGUUCUUUUCUCCUUCGCUGUCUCCUGGCGCCGUGCGCGCCGGCUCCGCCCUUCCUCCCCCUCAUCAUUCUUCUCUCUCACGUGCCUCAUGAUUCCGUGAUGCAGCCCAUCCCCACUGCGCACAUCAAGAAGGUACUCCGUAAGGAGCAACUGCUCCGCUUGCGGAGGUGGGCCAAGUCGGAGCCAGCGCAGGUGACUGCUGCGUCGCAACAGAUUUGCGAUCAUGUCUACGAAUACAUUAUCGCGCGCUACCGGCCUGGUGCGACCUCUGCCGCUCGCGGAGCGUCGUCGUCUUCGUUGGGGGCGGCAGAGAGCCGGGGUGCACCUCUGCCCGCUCCACUUUCUCCACCGCCGCUGCUCGUGCUGGCGUAUCUGCCGCUGUACUUCGAAGUGGAUCCUGUGCCGCUCAUGCAGCGUCUAUGGUCAAUCGCGCAUGAACAGAACAUUCACAUCUUGACCCCUGUCGUGCUCCCAGAGACGAUGACGGCCUUGUUGACGGCCAGGGCUGCGGCUGUGCCUGCUGUGGAGCUGACACCACAACCAGCGUCAUCAACAGUUAUGUCGGAUCCCUUGCCGCCACAACAUCCCGCGCCGCACACUCUCAAGAGUGCGAUGGUCUUUGUCGAGGUGCUGAAUGAACGUGAGCUGAACACAGUCUUCGCCCCACAAGGUGCGUACAACAUCCGUGAGUUUAACGCCUCUCUCUUGGAGCCCUGGCUACUCGGGCCUUCACGUACGUCCACUAUCGGCAUGCCAGCCCCCCUGCAUUCGCCGUCCACUUUGGAAGGAGUUAAGGGCGAUGACGAGGACGACCACCCCAUGCUCGCCAGCUGCCAUGGCCGUCAUCGUCACAUGGUUCUCUGCGAUGCAUAUGCACGUUUGUUCCCAGAGCCCCACGCGGCUGGGUAUCGGCCAUCGGGCCUUCUCGAGUACCGCGAUGCCAGUGAGGACCCGAGAACCCGUCUGAGCCCCGCCGUUCACGAGGGAGCCACGCACGCCUUAGGCAGCCUUGACGACGUGUCUAUGCUCGUACUCGCGCCUGGCGUGCUAUUCGACGUGCGGACUGGUUCCCGCCUCGGCAAGGGCGGUGGCUUCUACGACCGCUUUCUCGACUACCACGGCAGUGUGCAUCGCCGUAGGCUCCCCGCUGACUCCGUCCCAUCCCGUGUCGGAGGUCAGGAAGAGGGGAAUACGGCAGAGAGUGUGGAAGCCGCAGUGGGCGCGUCCACUCUCGCCGCCUCCGGCGUGCCUGUUCCGCAGUGGGAUGUCAUGGCCCUUGCCUUCGACGAUCAGGUCCUGCGUUCUUCUACGACGGGUACUUGUGCACCGGCCAUCGGUGUCUCCGAUAGCUCCAUGCCGUCGCGCAUUCCUGCCGACACGCACGAUCGACCCGUGCAUUCUGUCGUCUCUCCAAGCGGCGGCGUAGAGCAGGUGUGUCAAUACCAGUGAGAGGUGGCGCGUCCAACUGUUCCGCCGACACGGGUCGACCUGUUCGAGGGUUUGCGAAGCGGUGCCCAUCACCGCUACCAAAGCAGCAGGAAC